UAGAUAAAGGCUUGAAACUUAAGAAAUUUGGCGGUGUUUUAGUCCGUUCAGAGGAAUCUGUUCUAUAAUUGAAAGUACACGAAGGUAAAUACUUAAUUUUGUUUAGUUUGUAUACCGCCGUCGUAAGAAUAUUUUAUUUGAAGAAUAUUAAAUUUCGGAAUUAAAAAUGAUUCAGGAUGUCAGGUCAAGGUGCAAUAUAUGAUUAAGAAGAGAUGGAUUACAAUAUUGGGGUAAAUAUUAUGAAAUUUAAAUUGUAAAUUUAAAGGAAGGUGGAUUUGAUAGUAAACUUAAAACUUAUUAAGUUGAUUUAGGCUCUAAAACAUGCACACAUCGCCCGUCGCUCUUA
Molecule: ribosomal RNA, 346 nt
Filed under: Allonemobius fasciatus
Lineage: Eukaryota; Metazoa; Arthropoda; Insecta; Orthoptera; Trigonidiidae
Description: partial 12S ribosomal RNA
Source: RNAcentral